Molecule: ribosomal RNA, 301 nt
Filed under: uncultured bacterium
Lineage: Bacteria
Description: partial 16S ribosomal RNA
Rfam family: Bacterial small subunit ribosomal RNA
Source: RNAcentral
CAGUAGCCGCGGGAAUACGAGGGGGGCAAGCGUUGUUCGGAAUUAUUGGGCGUAAAGGGUGCGUAGGCGGUUUGGCAAGUCUUAUGUGAAAUCUUCGGGCUCAACCCGAAGUCUGCAUGAGAAACUGCCGGGCUUGAGUAUGGGAGAGGUGAGUGGAAUUUCCGGUGUAGCGGUGAAAUGCGUAGAUAUCGGAAGGAACACCUGUGGCGAAAGCGGCUCACUGGACCAUAACUGACGCUGAGGCACGAAAGCUAGGGGAGCAAAUGGGAUUAGAUACCCCCGUAGUCCCUGUCUCUUAUAU